Oncorhynchus tshawytscha (Chinook salmon) is the source of this 452-nucleotide long non-coding RNA. RefSeq lists it as uncharacterized. Lineage: Eukaryota; Metazoa; Chordata; Actinopteri; Salmoniformes; Salmonidae. The transcript has 2 exons. The record is from RefSeq and is a predicted model, not a curated record.
GAGAGAGAGAGAGAGAGAGAGAGAGAGAGAGAGAGAGAGAGAGAGAGAGAGAGAGAGAGAGAGAGAGAGAGAGAGAGAGAGAGAGAGAGAGAGAGAGAGAGAGAGAGAGAAGAAUACUUUUCCUGUCACCUAACUUCUUGCAAACUGUGCUGGACUGGAGUGUGAGAAAUACAGAUUUAGGGUAGGAACACAGUGUGAAAUAGAAAAGAUAGAAGAAGGAUAUUGGCGAAAGAGAGAAGGACAACAUGGAUUGUUCCAGUGGAGUUGUGUGUGACUGACGCAGGGAUAGGUUUGGCGUCCAAACAAAUAAUUAUGAAAACAGCUGUUCUCGCUAAGGAAACCGGAGCAAUUUGCUGGCUGGGGUGAAUGCUGAGCCUCGCUCCCCACCUAGACCCCCCCCUCACCCCUAACUUAUCCUCAGGGUCAACAGCACCGUUCCCUCCACCUAGACC